AGAAAAAGGAAAAGGAAAAGAAGAAAGGAAAAAGAAGAAGAAAAGAGGUGAGGUUAAUCUCUUCAAGUUGGGUUUAAUUUUUCCACUUUGUUUUCGAGUGAUUAAGUAUGAUUUAUAUUAAAUUUUUAGGGUUUUAACUUGUAGAAUAAAAUGUCGAAUUUUAGGUGAUAUUUGUACGAAUUGGAGCUCAAGUUUGGGGAUUUCUUCAUUUCCAAUUUUAGCUAGGUGGUGGCGGGGAAAUUGGAAACGUUUAUCAGCCAAUCUAGCUUGUAGCUCAUACCUUGAGACCGUCGAUUUUGAGAUACUGGGAAAAGCCCGCUGAAGCGAAAGAGACCGUUUCAUAGUAUGUAAUGUAUAGUUGGGGAACUCAUGUUAAUUAAGUGCUUGUCUAAUAUUUGGUGUGUCAUGCACUUCGUAGAAAGGUUGGUAAUUGAUGUAAUGCUUGCAUGUUGACAUGAUGAUGUUGUAGAAGCACUCAGUCGAAUUUUGUUAUAUUUUGUUGUAGUUGUGGUGGUAUUAGAGGAAGUGGUGGUUUCCAAAACUUUUGGUUUAAAUGUCUAUUUGAGGUUUUGAUGAUUUUUCA
Olea europaea var. sylvestris is the source of this 583-nucleotide long non-coding RNA. RefSeq lists it as uncharacterized. The transcript is spliced from 3 exons. Lineage: Eukaryota; Viridiplantae; Streptophyta; Magnoliopsida; Lamiales; Oleaceae. The record is from RefSeq and is a predicted model, not a curated record.